CCUACGGGGGGCAGCAGUGGGGGAUAUUGCACAAUGGAGGAAACUCUGAUGCAGCGACGCCGCGUGAGGGAAGACGGUCUUCGGAUUGUAAACCUCUGUCUUUGGGGAAGAAAAUGACGGUACCCAAAGAGGAAGCUCCGGCUAAGUACGUGCCAGCAGCCGCGGUAAUACGUAGGGAGCGAGGGUUGUCCGGAAUUACUGGGGGAAAAGGGAGCGUAGGCGGGCGAGAAAGUUGAAUGUUAAAUCUACCGGUUUAACUGGUAGCUGCGUUCAAAACUUCUUGUCUUGAGUGAAGUAGAGGCAGGCGGAAUUCCUGGUGUAGCGGUGAAAUGCGUAGAUAUUAGGAGGAACACCAGUGGCGAAGGCGGCCUGCUGGGCUUUAACUGACGCUGAGGCUCGAAAGCGUGGGGAGCAAACAGGAUUAGAUACCCCAGUAGUC
RNAcentral lists this ribosomal RNA (439 nucleotides) under uncultured bacterium. RNAcentral's name for it is "partial 16S ribosomal RNA". It matches the Rfam family "Bacterial small subunit ribosomal RNA", at positions 338 to 795 of the family's 1533-position model. The record is from RNAcentral.